GCGGACAGUAAGGUGAUGAGAUGUAUAUUCAGAAGGCUCAGCUAUUUGUCAGGAUUUCUUGUAGCUGCAGGCAAUGGAAACCCAACCCAAGGUGGGUUUUAAAAAGGGAGAAUGAGAGAGCCAUGUCUGCUUCAGAUACAGCUGGAUCCAGGAGCACCGCUGACGAUUUUCGUCUGGGGGCUGUCUGCGCCUCUUGGCUCUGCUUUGCCCCAUGUCACUGGCAUUCUCAGGCGGUCUCUGUUUCUCAGGGUGGCACAGUGCCUCAGCUGCUCCAGGCUGACAUCCUACAACGAGCUCAGCCACCUCAAGGCGGCAACGUCUUUCCCAUUCCAAAGUCGCCGGUUUAAUUUCUUGGCCCUGAUUGGAUCGUGUGCUUACCCCUGAACCAAUCCAUGUGGCCAGGGGCCUGACUGGCCAGGCCUGCAGCCCUGAGGAUGGAUGGGGUCAACUCUCCUAAUUCACAAGACCAAGGGGGUGGAGGCACCACAGGGGAAACUCAACGUGGUCUCCAGAAGAAGGGACACAUGUGCUGGGUGGCCCCAGACCCGCGCAAAUACAGCAUCCUCACCAGCUCAGCCAGCGAAUCUAACAAGGACCUACUUUGAGCCUGGCGCCAAGCCCAGAAAUGAAUCUGGCAACUUCCUGCCCUCUGGGAGGAAAAGAAGAUAUAAAUAAGUGCAAUUCAAAGCACUGUGUGAUGUGUCCUGAAAGAAAGAAACAAACAAAAGGCUACAGACACGAGAGGUUGGCUGAGAAAGGGCACUGGGCUGGCAGGAAUGGCUUGAGCAAGGGUAAGGAGGUGGGAGGGGCCAGGUGUGUUCGAAAAACUAGGGGUCAUCCUCGUGGCUGGCGACGUGGGGAACGAAGCUGCAGAGGGCAGUUGGGGUAGAUGGAGCAGGACCAGGCUCACCCAGCCGGGCCGUUUGGACUUUCUCCAGGUCGCAGCGGGGAGCCAUUGAUGGUUUUAGAGCAGAGCAGAAGCAAGAUCUGGAGUUGCACUUUCUGAAGAUGAACUCAGCCGUUGUGGAAGGGGAAGGGCUGGGACAGGGAGAGACUGAAAGGGACAAUUGAGCAGCUGUCACAACUGUCCCAGGACAGAUACUGGACAUCAGAACCAGGGCAAAGCUGCUGACAACUGCAGCAUGUCCCAGCCAGGGAUGGGAGUCUGGAAGAAAAGCAGGAAGGAAGUGAGAGGACAGAGCAGGUUGUUCUCCGCCUGGGCCUGGAUUCCCCCUGCAGCUCCUGACCCUUCUCAGGAAACCAGGAUGCCAGGUGCCAAUGGGACACCAGAAGCAAUGACCAUGCAGCAGAGGACUGGACAUGAUGACCUUGGGAGGUCAGCACACCACCCACUGAUCUCUGAGGCCGAGGCCCCUCCUUUCAUUCUUUCUUAGAAAUAUUUAUGCUCAGGAAGCUGCUUCCUUGACAAACCCGCUGGGCUUCCUAAAUAUUCACCAACGACUCGUUGUACCAUUGGCAGGACAUUUUUGCCAGAGCUGCCAACUGUAUUUACCGACAGAGGGACUGGGAAGAUCUGGGGCAGUGGGGUGGUCAGGGGGAAUAUAUAUAUAGGGGAAUAUACAGAGGAGAGUCCUGAGAGAGCAGAGACCAUCGAAGCCUCUGGAUCAGCUGUGGUCAGGUGGGGAAACCGGGUCACUGAUCCCUCAUAAGGCUUGAAACCAGCAGCUCAUAGCACCUGCCAGAGUCUCCCUAUUUUCAGAGACCAAUAUAAAAGAUGUCUGGCCCAGAGUGGGCUGAGCAGGUCCUGAAGGCAAGAAGGAUGUGCAGAAAAGGAGAUGGGACACCCAUUCCUAAUCAGGAUUGACUGGGCUGUCCUGCUUCCAAGUGCCUACUCCCAACUUAAUGACAACAGCAGACACCUCCAUUCCACCCACUACGUGCCAGGCUGUGUUCCCAUAUGUCACAUGUAUUACCUGGUUCUUGCAACAAAAUAGUCCUGAGCACCAACUAUGUGCAGGACCCUGUUCUAGACACUACUCAUGAACAAAAAACCCAAAAUGCCGUGGAACGGACACUCCAGUGUCAUCGGAAGUAAAUACAAGAUGUAGUAUGCUAGAAGGUGAUGAGUGUUUUGGAGAAAAAUAAAGCAGGGAUAGGAGAUGCGGCUGUCACAGGUGGGAUCUAGUGGCACAGCACUUUGGAGGUAAUGAUGAACAAGCACUCCCAUUUGGCCAAUGAGGUCACUGGGGUGCAGAGAGGCUAAGUGAUUUGCCCAAGGUCACACAGCUACAGAGGCAGGAUUCGAACCCAAGUCAUCUGGCUCCAGAGUCCUGGUUCCUGACCUGACGAGGACUCCAGGUUCUCUGACUUUAGCACAGGCGUCACCAGAGCCUCAAGAUGCAGAGCGACUUGCAGAGGAGCAGGCAGCCAAGAUGGAGGAGGUGGAGGGUUGGCUUUAGCAUUGGGCCAGCUCCCAGGCUGCAGGCCUUGGGAGGCAUUUCUCCUCCCUGGGCCUCAGUUUCCACCUCUGCAAAAUGGGGAAGUUGCAACCCCUGCCAUGGAGUGGGGGUUCCUUGAGGUGGCGCUGUGGAACUGCUUCCUAACACUGGCCACAGCGACUCCCAACACCUCUCAGGCUUGCCCUACAACCCAUUUUUCACCUGCAGCCAAAGGCGUUGCCAUGAAACAGACCAUGUCAUGGUCCCAUCCAGAUCCUCUGAUGGCUGCCCCUCACUUUGGACUCUGGCCUGCAGGUGGCCCCUGGUGUCCUCUCACCUCCACUCACUUCACUGCGGCCACCCAGCCUCCUGGCUGCUCUUGCAGAUCUGCCAACUCCAUCCUGCCCCCCAGCUUGGGCACCCACCAUUCCCUCUGCCUGAAGCCCCCUCCCUCACCUAUCAGCCACGAAUGGAACUCAGCCCGCACUCUGAAACAGAG
This 2898-nucleotide long non-coding RNA is filed under the name Homo sapiens (human). Its description in RNAcentral is "HSALNT0268622". The record is from RNAcentral. Lineage: Eukaryota; Metazoa; Chordata; Mammalia; Primates; Hominidae.